CGUCUAUAUACGUAUAGCAUAUCAAUAAGCGGAGGAAAAGAAACUAACUAGGAUUCCCUCAGUAACGGCGAGUGAAGCGGGAAGAGCUCAAAUUUGAAAUCUUCAAGGUUCUACCUUGACGAAUUGUAGUUUAAAGAAGUGUUUUCUAGUUGGAGUUUUGGUAAAAGUUCUUUGGAAAUAGGACAUCAUAGAGGGUGAGAAUCCCGUAUUUGACCAUUAUCUUCCAGCUUUGUGAUACACUUUCAAAGAGUCGGAUUGUUUGGGAAUGCAGUCCAAAAUGGGUGGUAAAUUUCAUCUAAAGCUAAAUACUUGGCGAGAGACCGAUAGCGAACAAGUACCGUGAGGGAAAGAUGAAAAGAACUUUGAAAAGAGAGUUAAACAGUACGUGAAAUUGUCAAAAGGGAAGCGUUUGACACCAGUGUUGUUUUCCCUCGAAAAUCAAUUAAAAAAGGCCGGAUUUUGUGUUGUAUUGACUUUAUCAGCUUUCUGCACUCUUUUCUUGUCCUUUUUUAAUGCACUUUUCGUUUAACAAGUCAACAUCAAUUUCUUUUGUUGUAAAAGAGUCAUUGGAAGGUGGCUUUCUUUUCGGAGAAAGUGUUUAUAGCCUUUGACUUCUGCAAUCGGAGAGAUUGAGGUCUGCAGCGUAGAUCCUUCGGGGUUAGAUAGCAUUUGUGCUAAGUUAUAGCCUUUCAUAGACAACUUGUUGACUAUGAUCAGUCAUGUAGCUUACUCGCUUAUGCUAUUUUACCUACGCUUAGGAUGUUGAAGUCAUCGUAUCGCGC
Molecule: ribosomal RNA, 782 nt
Filed under: uncultured Neocallimastigales
Lineage: Eukaryota; Fungi; Neocallimastigomycota; Neocallimastigomycetes; Neocallimastigales
Description: partial large subunit ribosomal RNA
Rfam family: Eukaryotic large subunit ribosomal RNA
Source: RNAcentral